ACGUUGUAGAACCAGGCUUGAGGAAGUUCUAGAACCAGGCUUCAGGAAGAUCUAGAACCAGGCUUCAGGAAGUUCUAGAACCAGGCUUCAGGAAGAUCUAGAACCAGGCUUGGGGCCGUUUUAGCUGUGAUGGAACCUGACCUUCAAUCUAUCAGAAACCUUGUCGUUUUAACUCUUGAGAGACUGGAGGAGAUGGAGGAAGAGGAGGAGGAAUAGAGGAGGAGGAGGAGGAGGAGGGUGUGUUUUCUAGCUGUCAAUAGACAAGCUAACUGUCUGCAAUAAUUGCCCUCUGAUGCUCCAAGAACUGAGAGAGGGUUUCCGAGGCUGGAAUACAACUGUACUUUUGACGUUGUUUUGUUGCUGAUUAUUACAACGGUCAAACAUUGUCCUGAAGGAUGUUCCCUGUCGUCGAAAAAAUAAACAUUUUUUUUUAUUCCUGAGCCGAAGGUGUCUGGUGUUUCUUCACAGAGCCCCUUGUGGGAUAACAACUAUUGACUGUGUUCUCAGCAGUCCCCACAGGAUGGCGCCAGACUAACAUGUCUUUAAUAUUGGCUGUAUUCUCAGCAGUCCCCACAGGAUGGCGCCAGAGAGCAACAUGGCUUUAAUAUUGACUGUAUUCUCAGCAGUCCCCACAGGAUGGGGCCAGAGAGCAACAUGUCUUUAAUAUUGACUGUAUUCUCAGUAGUCCCCACAGGAUGGCGCCAGAGAGCAACAUGUCUUUAAUAUUGACUGUAUUCUCAGUAGUCCCCACAGGAUGGCGCCAGAGAGCAACAUGUCUUUAAUAUUGACUGUAUUCUCAGUAGUCCCCACAGGAUGGCGCCAGAGAGCAACAUGUCUUUAAUAUUGACUGUAUUCUCAGUAGUCCCCACAGGAUGGCGCUAGAGAGUAAGAUAUCUUUAAUAUUAACUAUAUACUCAGCAGUCCCCACAGGAUGGCGCUAGAGAGCAACAUGUCUUUAAUAUUGACUGUAUUCUCAGUAGUCCCCACAGGAUGGCGCCAGAGAGCAACAUAACUGAGGUGUAUAAAUCCAUCAUUUACUCCAAACACUGUUGAGUUCCUAUUUGGUCUUAAAAUCAAAGUCGUAGUUUAGUUGUGUGCAAGUCAGUUAAGAACACAUUUUUAUUUUCAAUGCUGGUCUAGGAACAGUGGGUAAACUGGUCUAGGAACAGUGGGUUAACUGGCCUAGGAACAGUGGGUAAACUGGUCUAGGAACCGUGGGUAAACUGGUCUAGGAACAGUGGGUUAACUGCCUUGUUCAGGGGCAGAACAAGGAUCGGAUAGUGUCGAGCAGAGUAGGGUGGGGUAGGUUAAGGUAGGUUAAGGUAGGUUAGGGUAGGUUAAGGUAGGGUAGGUUAGGUUAAGGUAGGGUCGGUUAAGGUAUGGUAGGUUAAGGUAGGGUGAGGUAGGGUAGGUUAAGGUGGGGUAGGUUAAGGUAGGGUAGGUUAAGGUAGGUUAGGUUAAGGUUAGGGGUUAUAUCUGUAUAGUGUAGAGCAGAGUAGGGUAGGUUAAGGUAGGGUAGGUUAAGGUGGGGUAGGUUAAGGUAGGGUAGGUUAAAGUGGGAUAGGUUGAGGUAGGGGGUUAUAUCUGGAUAGUGUAGAGCAGAGUAGGGUAGGUUAUGGUAGGGUAGGUCAAAGUGGGGUAGGUUAAGGUUAGGGGUUAUAUCUGUAUAGUGUAGGUUAGGGUAGGUUAAGGUUAGGGGUUAUAACUUGAUAGUGUAGAGCAGGGUAGGUUAAGGUAGGGUAGGUUAAGGUAGGGUAGGUUAAGGUAGGGUAGGUUAAGGUAGGGUAGGUUAAGGUAGGGUAGGUUAAGGUAGGGUAGGUUAAGGUAGGUUAGGUUAAGGUAGGGUAGGUUAAGGUAGGUUAGGUUAAGGUAGGGUAGGUUAAGGUAGGGUAGGUUAAGGUAGGGUAGGUUAAGGUAGGUUAGGUUAAGGUAGGGUAGGUUAAGGUAGGGUAGGUUAAGGGGCUUAUAUCUGGCUGAGAGAGAGGAAUUUCUGGUAGUAACUCUUGGUCACAUCAAUCAUCAGGUCCUGGGUACAUUCUGGGAGCUCUCCUGAAAACAGACCU
Long non-coding RNA from Oncorhynchus keta (chum salmon), 2063 nucleotides. RefSeq lists it as uncharacterized. Lineage: Eukaryota; Metazoa; Chordata; Actinopteri; Salmoniformes; Salmonidae. The record is from RefSeq and is a predicted model, not a curated record. The transcript has 6 exons.